Molecule: unclassified non-coding RNA, 1417 nt
Filed under: Hevea brasiliensis (rubber tree)
Lineage: Eukaryota; Viridiplantae; Streptophyta; Magnoliopsida; Malpighiales; Euphorbiaceae
Source: RNAcentral
GGGGGUCCUAGGCACCAUCACAAAAUUUGCAAAACUAUCAAAAAGGUGGAAAUAGACAGUCAAAAUUAGAAGUGGGAAAGGAAGAACAAUUAAAUAUAAAAUAAUGCAGGCUUGGUUGAUAAAAUUGCCAUAUUUUGAUGUAGAAAUAAUGCAACCCAAAUUUCUCAGGUACCUAAAUUCUGGACGAUUUUUAAAACGGAUGAAUACGUUCCAAAGGCUGCUGCUAUAAGCCCUAUUAUCAUUAUUAUGCCACACACUAUUCCCUGUAAACGUGUUACUUUCCCUUUGAGGAUGCUCAGGAAACAGGCACAAGGAAGAAUUAAACUAAUGAACAUGGUCAGAAGUGAUCCGAUGAGCGACAUAAUCAAACCAAAGAAAGGAAUGCCAAGACCCACAAGCAAGGUAGAGAUGACAAGAGCAGUUCUAAUAAGGAUUGAGAAUAUUAAAAACUGGGGAUGAUUUGAAGGUAUUAGCUCCUCCAGACUCAUUGCAAUUGGAGUCAACGUCAAUGCAUACUUGGUAAAUGGGUUAACCACCGUAGUCCAGACCGCGAUCUUUGAUGCAACCAAGUUCUUCGGCAAGUUGAGAGUGAACUGCGACAUCGUCGAUUCUCCAAACAUUGAAUAUCCCAUAAACGCAACUCCCGCAUACAUCAAGGUACAAACAAUGAAACAUGUUAAGAGGACUGAAGGAUAUUGACUUGGUUUUGCCAUUGAACUAUAAAUAUUGGGGAAAACAGCGUGUCCAGAAUAGCAGAAGCCAUAAAGACCAACAGCAAUAGGAAGGGUUGCAGGAUUCAGUAAAGUUGUCGUCUCCUUCCCUUGGAAACCGACACCAUCUACCAACCCAAUCCAGAACAAGCAUAGGACCACCAAUAUUGAUGCGAUAACUCCACCAGCAGAGAUGUAGCUAAGAACGGAUAAGUCCCGGAGAUAAACAGUAGGAAGAACAGCAAUAGCAGUCAUCAAAGCAAAUAAAAGAUGUGCAUUUAACUCAUAUCCGCCCACAUUUAAAUGGGCAUUUGGAAAUAGAGAAGACAAGUUGUCGCUCUCCAAGAUUAUGUACUCAAUACAAGCAGCGUAUAAUUCCAGGUACAAUAUUAUCGAGAUGGCGAUUCGACCGGUGGUGCCGAAGGCUGCCUGGCCAAUGUCUGGGUAAGUAUCGAGCUCGGGUCUACUUUCCAUGCAGUCACGAAGGAGGAGUCCAGUGUAGUAACAGAGCACAGCAAAUAUUAGCAAAACGGAAAGUCCAAUCCAUCCUCCCUCUUUCGCUGCAUAAGGCGUCGUUAGUAUUCCAACCCCACAUAGCACAUUUCCUCCAUUCAGCAUAGCCUGACUGAAUGUACUUCGACGAGCAGCGGGAAACUCGUGUGGGACUUUGGAAGGUUUGUCAUCCUUUUUUAUGGUUGAUGGCCUCC